AUGCAGUCGAACGGUGAAGCCAAGCUUGCUUGGUGGAUCAGUGGCGAACGGGUCAGUAACACGUGAGCAACCUGCCCUGGACUCUGGGAUAAGCGCUGGAAACGGCGUCUAAUACCGGAUACGAGACGCAACCGCAUGGUUAGUGUUUGGAAAGAUUUUUCGGUCUGGGAUGGGCUCGCGGCCUAUCAGCUUGUUGGUGAGGUAAUGGCUCACCAAGGCGUCGACGGGUAGCCGGCCUGAGAGGGUGACCGGCCACACUGGGACUGAGACACGGCCCAGACUCCUACGGGAGGCAGCAGUGGGGAAUAUUGCACAAUGGGCGAAAGCCUGAUGCAGCAACGCCGCGUGAGGGACGACGGCCUUCGGGUUGUAAACCUCUUUUAGCGAGGAAGAAGCGAAAGUGACGGUACUCGCAGAAAAAGCGCCGGCUAACUACGUGCCAGCAGCCGCGGUAAUACGUAGGGCGCAAGCGUUAUCCGGAAUUAUUGGGCGUAAAGAGCUCGUAGGCGGUUUGUCGCGUCUGCUGUGAAAACUGGGGGCUCAACCCCCAGCCUGCAGUGGGUACGGGCAGACUAGAGUGCGGUAGGGGAGAUUGGAAUUCCUGGUGUAGCGGUGGAAUGCGCAGAUAUCAGGAGGAACACCGAUGGCGAAGGCAGAUCUCUGGGCCGUAACUGACGCUGAGGAGCGAAAGGGUGGGGAGCAAACAGGCUUAGAUACCCUGGUAGUCCACCCCGUAAACGUUGGGAACUAGUUGUGGGGUCCAUUCCACGGAUUCCGUGACGCAGCUAACGCAUUAAGUUCCCCGCCUGGGGAGUACGGCCGCAAGGCUAAAACUCAAAGGAAUUGACGGGGACCCGCACAAGCGGCGGAGCAUGCGGAUUAAUUCGAUGCAACGCGAAGAACCUUACCAAGGCUUGACAUAUACGAGAACGGGCUAGAAAUAGUCAACUCUUUGGACACUCGUAAACAGGUGGUGCAUGGUUGU
RNAcentral lists this ribosomal RNA (985 nucleotides) under Microbacterium sp. LB1-5. RNAcentral's name for it is "bacterial SSU rRNA". It matches the Rfam family "Bacterial small subunit ribosomal RNA", at positions 55 to 1052 of the family's 1533-position model. The record is from RNAcentral. Lineage: Bacteria; Bacillati; Actinomycetota; Actinomycetes; Micrococcales; Microbacteriaceae.